RNAcentral lists this transfer RNA (74 nucleotides) under Flammeovirgaceae bacterium. RNAcentral describes it as "tRNA-Met". It matches the Rfam family "tRNA". From Rfam's summary of the family: Transfer RNA (tRNA) molecules are approximately 80 nucleotides in length. Their secondary structure includes four short double-helical elements and three loops (D, anti-codon, and T loops). Further hydrogen bonds mediate the characteristic L-shaped molecular structure. tRNAs have two regions of fundamental functional importance: the anti-codon, which is responsible for specific mRNA codon recognition, and the 3' end, to which the tRNAs corresponding amino acid is attached (by aminoacyl-tRNA synthetases). tRNAs cope with the degeneracy of the genetic code in two manners: having more than one tRNA (with a specific anti-codon) for a particular amino acid; and 'wobble' base-pairing, i.e. permitting non-standard base-pairing at the 3rd anti-codon position. Lineage: Bacteria; Pseudomonadati; Bacteroidota; Cytophagia; Cytophagales; Flammeovirgaceae. RNAcentral also lists the same sequence under 1 other name. The record is from RNAcentral.
GGCGCGGUAGCUCAGGCGGUUAGAGCGCAGGAUUCAUAACCCUGAGGUCGGGAGUUCAACUCUCCCCCGCGCUA